GACGAACGCUGGCGGCGUGCUUAACACAUGCAAGUCGAACGGAAAGGCCCCGUUGUUGUUGCUCGCGCGAGGGACGGGCGGGUGAGACGUACGUGAGCAGCCCUUGCCUGCCGGAGAACUACAUGAAAGUGAGGCGAAUACCGAAUAGGAAUCAUUUCUGGAUGCAUGGGGUUGGAAAGCUACCGCGGGUUUGGGUGGACUCGCGGCUUUUCUGCUUGUUGGUGGGGUAGUGGGUUACCGAGGCUUUGACGGGGAGCCGGCCUGCGAGGGCGAACGGCCACAAUGGGAAUGAGAUACGGCCCAGACUCCUACGGGAGGCAGGAGUGGGGAAUAUUGCACAAUGGGCGGAAGCCUGAUGCAGCAACGCCGCGGGGGGGAUGACGGCCUUCGGGUUGUAAACCGCUUUCAGCAGGGGCGAAGCUUGUGGUGACGGUACCUGCAGAAGAAGCACCGGCUAACUACGUG
This 465-nucleotide ribosomal RNA is filed under the name uncultured bacterium. RNAcentral describes it as "partial 16S ribosomal RNA". It matches the Rfam family "Bacterial small subunit ribosomal RNA", at positions 28 to 507 of the family's 1533-position model. The record is from RNAcentral.